UAGUUUUCAUGAUAAUUAUGUUAGUGUUAGAGCUUAUGAUAUGUAGGUUCAUUAGAGUUUCUAAACUGCAAUUAUUUUAGGUAGAAUUAGGUAGAAGAAUGUCUCUUUUAAUUCUUGUGUGAUGCAUUUAGUUUUCUUAAACUUCAAUAGGCAUAUCUAGUAAUUGCUAUUAGGUUCUGUUCCUGUUUUUAUUAGUUUGAAUUCUGUAGUUCAUUUUAGAUUCUGCUUGUGCACAUAUUUUUUUUUUUAAUUUCUUUAUUUUCAUUUUAUGUCCCCAC
This 278-nucleotide long non-coding RNA is filed under the name Vigna radiata. RNAcentral's name for it is "long non-coding RNA (VRAD_LNC017147)". The record is from RNAcentral. Lineage: Eukaryota; Viridiplantae; Streptophyta; Magnoliopsida; Fabales; Fabaceae.